RNAcentral lists this ribosomal RNA (301 nucleotides) under uncultured bacterium. Its description in RNAcentral is "partial 16S ribosomal RNA". It matches the Rfam family "Bacterial small subunit ribosomal RNA", at positions 509 to 807 of the family's 1533-position model. The record is from RNAcentral.
CAGUCGCCGCGGUAAUACGGAGGGUGCGAGCGUUAAUCGGAAUCACUGGGCGUAAAGCGUACGCAGGCGGUUUGUUAAGUCAGAUGUGAAAUCCCCGAGCUUAACUCGGGAACUGCAUUUGAAACUGGCAAGCUAGAGUGUGUCAGAGGAUGGUGGAAUUCCCGGUGUAGCGGUGAAAUGCGUAGAGAUCGGGAGGAACAUCAGUGGCGAAGGCGGCCAUCUGGGACAACACUGACGCUGAGGCACGAAAGCGUGGGGAGCAAACAGGAUUAGAUACCCCUGUAGUCCCUGUCUCUUAUAC